This 873-nucleotide ribosomal RNA is filed under the name uncultured bacterium. Its description in RNAcentral is "bacterial SSU rRNA". It matches the Rfam family "Bacterial small subunit ribosomal RNA", at positions 1 to 904 of the family's 1533-position model. The record is from RNAcentral.
GGAUCCAGACUUUGAUCCUGGCUCAGGAUGAACGCUGGCGGCGUGCCUAACACAUGCAAGUCGAGCGAUCUUCUUCGGAAGAGAGCGGCGGACGGGUGAGUAACGCGGGGGUAACCUGCCUCAUACACAUGGAUAACAUACGGAAAGGUAUGCUAAUACAAGAUGAUAUAAGAGAUUCGCAUGGAUUUCUUAUCAAAGCUCCGGCGGUAUGAGAUGGACCCGCGUCUGAUUAGCUAGUUGGUAAGGUAAUGGCUUACCAAGGCGACGAUCAGUAGCCGACCUGAGAGGGUGAUCGGCCACAUUGGAACUGAGACACGGUCCAAACUCCUACGGGAGGCAGCAGUGGGGAAUAUUGCACAAUGGGCGAAAGCCUGAUGCAGCAACGCCGCGUGAGCGAUGAAGGCCUUCGGGUCGUAAAGCUCUGUCCUCAAGGAAGAUAAUGACGGUACUUGAGGAGGAAGCCCCGGCUAACUACGUGCCAGCAGCCGCGGUAAUACGUAGGGGGCUAGCGUUAUCCGGAUUUACUGGGCGUAAAGGGUGCGUAGGUGGUUUCUUAAGUCAGGAGUGAAAGGCUACGGCUCAACCGUAGUAAGCUCUUGAAACUGGGAAACUUGAGUGCAGGAGAGGAAAGUGGAAUUCCUAGUGUAGCGGUGAAAUGCGUAGAUAUUAGGAGGAACACCAGUAGCGAAGGCGGCUUUCUGGACUGUAACUGACACUGAGGCACGAAAGCGUGGGGAGCAGACAGGAUUAGAUACCCUGGUAGUCCACGCCGUAAACGAUGAGUACUAGGUGUCGGGGGUUACCCCCCUCGGUGCCGCAGCUAACGCAUUAAGUACUCCGCCUGGGGAGUACGCUCGCAAGAGUGCAACUCAA